Molecule: long non-coding RNA, 221 nt
Filed under: Lathyrus oleraceus (garden pea)
Lineage: Eukaryota; Viridiplantae; Streptophyta; Magnoliopsida; Fabales; Fabaceae
Description: Pisum sativum (pea) long non-coding RNA (PSAT_LNC015069)
Source: RNAcentral
UCAGUGGAGAGGGUUCCACCUUUCUGAAUCCCCACUUUUUGUCAUGAGCUCACCCUAUCCAGGGUUAAGAGCUAUGAGGUCUUAUCCUCAUUACCCCUUUUGAUCUGCUCACCCUGAAUUUCAGUGUCAGUUGGUUAAGAGCUCGUUUGAUUACCUUUCCAUGGCUUGUUUGUCGAGGUUGAUAUGACCCCUCUUGACUAAAGUCCUACCCAUGUAUGUUU